Molecule: long non-coding RNA, 919 nt
Organism: Monodelphis domestica (gray short-tailed opossum)
Lineage: Eukaryota; Metazoa; Chordata; Mammalia; Didelphimorphia; Didelphidae
Source: RefSeq, a predicted model, not a curated record
AGCACUUUGGGAUGCAGGAGGGUUUGAGUCCAUUCUAAACUGGCCCCAUGGAUGAGAAGGGGGUCCAGUCCCCAGCUCAAAUCCACACAGCUGGGUGGAAUGAACCAAUCAAGGCCAACUGGGUAUAACCAAGUCCUCAAUCACUCUGGAAUGCUCCCAGGAGAGCCGGGCCAUUGGUUGGAAGCGUAUGACGUCACCCAGGAAAUACCUUUUGAUUGAACAGAAUCCAUCCUAUCUUUUGGUGUGACGUCGAAAACACAAUCCGGGGUGCCAUUUCACAAUCCAUUAGCGGGGCAGCAGAGGGGCGGCGGGGCCUUAAGAGAAGCGCAAGGAAGGCAGGAAAAACCCUCAACAUCUCGUGAGCUGGGGAGACUAGGCAGGGCCAUCAGAGUCUCACACGUGACGCGAGGCCGUCGAAAUGCCCCCAGAAUGGUCAUAGCAAAGGACAGCGUUGGUGCUUUAAGAUGGAUGAGAAAAACCUGAGCCAGAGGCUGGUUGCAUCUGGCUUAAAGGAGGGAGGCCCUGAUGGCAAAGACAAAGCCAGCUGAAGACUGGAAAGACACUAUUCCUGGCUCAGAAUAAAGUCCAAACUUCGCACAACUUGAUGAGGACUCUCUGAAGGGGGGAGGAAAUAUAUUUGCAAAAUGCAAAUGAAGUCAACUGGCCCAAACUCAGUACGAGAUAUACUGAUGGGGGCUCGUGGAAACUCCUACAACUCUGAUGACAUCUGGAAACUGGAGAGGAAGGGCAGCGACUGACCUCUUGGGAUUCCAUUCAUCCGUGCUAGUAGUAGCUGGGACAAUUGUUGUUGUCCUUCAUUUUCAGAGAGGACCAAAGACUUAUCGGGCGAUAUCUUGCCUUGUGCAUGGACGGGCUUUUAAUGACGCAGAGUUUCAUAAAGUCAUGAGUUUCACCCGUC